RNAcentral lists this ribosomal RNA (247 nucleotides) under uncultured bacterium. RNAcentral describes it as "partial 16S ribosomal RNA". It matches the Rfam family "Bacterial small subunit ribosomal RNA", at positions 107 to 354 of the family's 1533-position model. The record is from RNAcentral.
UGAGUAACGCGUGAGGAACCCGCCUUUCGGAGGGGGACAACAGUUGGAAACGACUGCUAAUACCGCAUGAUACAUCGAAGCCGCAUGGCUUUGAUGUCAAAGAUUUAUCGCCGAAAGAUGGCCUCGCGUCUGAUUAGCUUGUUGGUGAGGUAACGGCUCACCAAGGCGACGAUCAGUAGCCGGACUGAGAGGGUGACCGGCCACAUUGGGACUGAGACACGGCCCAAACUCCUACGGAAGGCAGCAG